This 21-nucleotide non-coding RNA is filed under the name Caenorhabditis elegans. The record is from RNAcentral. Lineage: Eukaryota; Metazoa; Nematoda; Chromadorea; Rhabditida; Rhabditidae.
UACCACGAAUUCCUAGAGAAC